GCAUCAUUCGUCUAAUGGUUCAGGACUCUAGUUUUCCAAACUGGUAAUAUGGGUUCGACUCCCAUAUGAUGCU
Molecule: transfer RNA, 73 nt
Filed under: Eubacterium sp.
Lineage: Bacteria; Bacillati; Bacillota; Clostridia; Eubacteriales; Eubacteriaceae
Description: tRNA-Gly
Rfam family: tRNA
About the family: Transfer RNA (tRNA) molecules are approximately 80 nucleotides in length. Their secondary structure includes four short double-helical elements and three loops (D, anti-codon, and T loops).
Source: RNAcentral